Molecule: long non-coding RNA, 671 nt
Filed under: Mytilus galloprovincialis (Mediterranean mussel)
Lineage: Eukaryota; Metazoa; Mollusca; Bivalvia; Mytilida; Mytilidae
Source: RNAcentral
UAUCAAGGAGAGGUGGAAGAAAAAAGGACAUUCAAACUCAUAAGUCAUAAUUCGGUGGUUUCGAAGUAUCAAUUACAACAACAAGAACAUAUCCGUUGUCGUCUGCAUGCGAAACAGAUAUUUUUCAUAACUCGAGAUUGUGUCAACAAAAUUUGGUAGGAAUGAUUUCGACUUUACCUUUUUGAAUCCUUAGCUAAAUAUCUGUCUUGUUAGGACAUCAUUCUAUAUAGCGUGACCAUGUCAGUACACCAGCUGCUUCGUCAAUUAGUCUCUUUUUGGUUUUCUUUUACACAAUCAUACCACAACUCCAUACGAAUUCAUGAAUGCGCAAUGCUUAUUACUAGAACUCCGACGAACAAGUCAGAUUCAAAAUCCUGCAGAAGUGAAACUAUUACCCAUCGGUGUUAGAUCUCAAAUGGGAAUAAAGAUACAGCGAUUUAUAUUUUGAUUAUGUUGUUUUCGGAUUGACUUUUCAAUUUCAUCUGUUCCGAUGCAGACUAUUUCUUUUCCUGCCAGGAUAUCCGUUUUAAAAUUUCUCCUGCCCCUCCCAAGAAAAUCAAAUGGUUGUUCUCUUAUGAGUUUUUUCUUCAAAAGUUAUUAAUUUUAAACGUUUAUACAUAAAUUGCUUGACUUAUCUUGCUAUUGAUUAUUUGGAACAGAUUUUUAUUUCA